This 460-nucleotide ribosomal RNA is filed under the name uncultured bacterium. RNAcentral describes it as "partial 16S ribosomal RNA". It matches the Rfam family "Bacterial small subunit ribosomal RNA", at positions 338 to 795 of the family's 1533-position model. The record is from RNAcentral.
CCUACGGGUGGCUGCAGUGAGGAAUAUUGGGCAAUGGACGAGAGUCUGAACCAGCCAAGUAGCGUGAAGGAUGACUGCCCUAUGGGUUGUAAACUUCUUUUAUAAAGGAAUAAAACGAGGCACGUGUGCCUUUUUGCAUGUACUUUAUGAAUAAGGAUCGGCUAACUCCGUGCCAGCAGCCGCGGUAAUACGGAGGAUCCGAGCGUUAUCCGGAUUUAUUGGGUUUAAAGGGAGAGUAGAUGGGUUGUUAAGGCAGUUGUGAAAGUUUGCAGCUCAACCGUAAAAUUGCAAUUGAAACUGGCAGUCUUGAGUACAGUUGAGGUAGGCGGAAUUCGUGGUGGAGCGGUGAAAUGCUUAGAUAUCGCGCAGAACCCCGAUUGCGAAGGCAGCGUACCGGCUCCACACUGACGCUGAGGCACGAAAGCGUGGGUAUCGAACAGGAUUAGAUACCCCAGUAGUC